Molecule: long non-coding RNA, 109 nt
Organism: Hibiscus syriacus
Lineage: Eukaryota; Viridiplantae; Streptophyta; Magnoliopsida; Malvales; Malvaceae
Exons: 2
Source: RefSeq, a predicted model, not a curated record
ACGCUAAUCGGAACCAAGCUUUUGUUGAAUUUGUAGACUUAAAUCAGGCUAUUUCGAUGGUUUCAUAUUAUGCUUCAUCAUCAGAGCCAGCACAGGUUCGUGGAAAAAA